CUAGCAUAUCAAUAAGCGGAGGAAAAGAAACCAACAGGGAUUGCCUCAGUAACGGCGAGUGAAGCGGCAACAGCUCAAAUUUGAAAUCUGGCUCCCUCGGGGUCCGAGUUGUAAUUUGCAGAGGGAGCUUUUGGUGUCGGCCGUGGUCUAAGUUCCUUGGAACAGGACGUCACAGAGGGUGAGAAUCCCGUACGUGGCCGCCGGCCUUCGCCUUGUAAAGCCCCUUCGACGAGUCGAGUUGUUUGGGAAUGCAGCUCUAAAUGGGAGGUAAAUUUCUUCUAAAGCUAAAUACCCGCCAGAGACCGAUAGCGCACAAGUAGAGUGAUCGAAAGAUGAAAAGCACUUUGGAAAGAGAGUGAAAAAGCACGUGAAAUUGUUGAAAGGGAAGCGCUUGCAGCCAGACGUGCCCGCAGUUGAUCAUCCAGGCUCCGGCCCGGUGCACUCCUCCGCGGGCAGGCCAGCAUCAGUUCGGGCGGUCGGAUAAAGGCCUCUGUCAUGUACCACCCCCCGGGGUGGCCUUAUAGGGGAGGCGCAACACGGCCAGCCCGGACUGAGGUUCCGCGCAUCUGCUAGGAUGCUGGCGUAAUGGCGGCAAGCGGCCCGUCUUGAAACACGGACCAAGGAGUCUAACAUCUAUGCGAGUGUUUGGGUGUCAAGCCCGAGCGCGUAAUGAAAGUGAACGGAGGUGGGAACCCUUACCGGUGCACCAUCGACCGAUCCUGAUGUCUUCGGAUGGAUUUGAGUAAGAGCAUAGCUGUUGGGACCCGAAAGAUGGUGAACUAUGCCUGAAUAGGGUGAAGCCAGAGGAAACUCUGGUGGAGGCUCGCAGCGGUUCUGACGUGCAAAUCGAUCGUCAAAUUUGGGCAUAGGGGCGAAAGACUAAUCGAACCAUCUAGUAGCUGGUUCCUGCCGA
Molecule: ribosomal RNA, 913 nt
Filed under: Torula lancangjiangensis
Lineage: Eukaryota; Fungi; Ascomycota; Dothideomycetes; Pleosporales; Torulaceae
Description: Torula sp. HS-2021a partial large subunit ribosomal RNA
Rfam family: Eukaryotic large subunit ribosomal RNA
Source: RNAcentral